This 478-nucleotide ribosomal RNA is filed under the name uncultured anaerobic ammonium-oxidizing bacterium. Its description in RNAcentral is "bacterial SSU rRNA". It matches the Rfam family "Bacterial small subunit ribosomal RNA", at positions 365 to 833 of the family's 1533-position model. The record is from RNAcentral.
UUCGCAAUGCCCGAAAGGGUGACGAAGCGACGCCGCGUGGGUGAGGAAGGCCUUCGGGUUGUAAAGCCCUGUCAGGAGUUAAGAAAUGUAAGUGCGCUAAUACCGCAUUUAUUUGACGAAGGCUCCAAAGGAAGUCACGGCUAACUCUGUGCCAGCAGCCGCGGUAAUACAGAGGUGGCAAGCGUUGUUCGGAAUUAUUGGGCGUAAAGAGCACGUAGGUGGGUUUGUAAGUCAGAUGUGAAAGCCUCCUGUUCAACGGGAGAAUUGCGUCUGAAACUACAGAUCUUGAGUGUAGGAGGGGAGAAUGGAACUUCUGGUGGAGCGGUGAAAUGCGUAGAUAUCAGAAGGAACGCCGGCGGCGAAAGCGAUUCUCUGGCCUAUUACUGACACUCAGUGUGCGAAAGCUAGGGUAGCAAACGGGAUUAGAUACCCCGGUAGUCCUAGCCGUAAACGAUGGGCACUAAGUAGAGGGGUUUUA